AACCUCCUCCCCUGCCCUCCCCCAGGCCGUGCUGGACGUGGGGCUCGCCCACGAGGCCUCGCUGGAUUUGGGGGCUCUGGGCCCCAACGUCUCCCUCAGGGCGGCCGCCUACACCGGGGGCGGGGAGGGGCCCUGGAGCCCCCCCCUGCUGCUGCCACCGCCCCGUGAGUCACCGGAAACCCCGAAUCCACCCCAAAUCCCCAAAUCCACCCCAAAUCCCCCAAUCCCCCCCCAAAACCCCAAAUCCACCCCAAAACCCCCAAAUCCUCCCCAAAUCCCCGAAUCCACCCCAGAAACCCCAAACCCACCCCAAAUCCCCAAAUCCACCCCAAAUCCCCAAAUCCACCCCAAAAACCCCAAACCCACCCCAAAAACCCCAAACUCACCCCAAAAACCCCAAAUCCACCCCAAAUCCACCCCAAAAACCCCAAAUCCACCCCAAAAUCCCUGAAAAACCCCAAAUUCAUCCCCACCCCAAAAAACCCUGAAAUUCCCAAUUCUGCUCCCCAAAUCCCUGACCCUGCACCCCCAAAUCCCCCCCAAUCCCCCCGGUGUCCCCAAUCCCCCCCGGUGUCCCCAAUCCCCCCGAUGUCCCCAAUCCCCCCCGGUGUCCCCAAUCCCCCCCGGUGUCCCCAAUCCCCCCCGAUGUCCCCAAUCCCCCCCGGUGUCCCCAAUCCCCCUGAUGUCCCCAAUCCCCCCCGAUGUCCCCAAAUCCCCCCCGGUGUCCCCACAGCUGCCGAGGCCCCGCUGGAGUCGCAGCCAGUGCGGCCGCCGUUCCUGGCCGGCGCUGGGUGGCCGCUGCUGGUGGCCCUGGUGGCCCUGGUGACGCUGGCCCUGGUGGGCCUGGUGGUGAUGGCGGCGCGGAGACGCCACAAAGAGACGCGCUACGGGGCCGCCUUCGCUCCGGCCGUUCGCUUCCGCGUCCGCAGCUCCUACGGGCACCGCUCGGCGCAGGCCACGCGUGAGUGACCGCGGGGACACCGCGGGGACACCGCGGGCACCUGAGGGUCACCUCGGUGUCACCUGGGUCACCUGUGUGCCCAAUGUCCCCAAAUGGCCCCAAUCCCCCAAAUGUCCCUGAUGUCCCCAAAUGUCCCAAAUGUCCCCAAAUGUCCCCCAAUGUCCCCGAUGUCCCCAUGCCCCAAUGUCUCCAUUGCUCUCCCCAAAAUGUCCCUCAUGUCCCCAAAUGUCCCCAGUCGCCCAAAUGUCCCCAAAUGUCCCCAUGGCUGUCGCGAUGUCCCCGAUGUCCCUAAUGU
Molecule: long non-coding RNA, 1256 nt
Filed under: Chloebia gouldiae (Gouldian finch)
Lineage: Eukaryota; Metazoa; Chordata; Aves; Passeriformes; Passeridae
Description: Erythrura gouldiae (Gouldian finch) lncRNA (ENSEGOG00005010187.1)
Source: RNAcentral